GAGCUGGGUCCUUGCUCACUAAUACCGAAUCUCCCUCGGGGUCCGUUUCCUCAUUUAUACAACCUGACCAGGCUGUGGGCUCUUCACCAAGGCCAGCAGCCCCCUGGCAAUUUCUCGAGCAUGAGUGACCCUGUGCUACUCAUGUUACCCCACAGCUGAUUGGACCUGGGAACCUCCAAGGCAGCCCUGUGGGAGCUGCAGAGGCCCUCAGGGGGCCCCAGAGGAAGACCCUGCCUGCUCAACGGGAGGGUGGCUCCAGAGUGACGCCAGGGGACCGAGUGUCAGCCGGGAAGGGACCAUAGGAAAACCCAUGAGUCAGCAGAAGCCUUGAGGCAGACAGAUGGAGAAGAUGGGGCGAGAGAAGCCGCUGCAGGGCCACACCCAAGGCACAUGGAGGGCGAAUUAGAGCUGCAACUGCCGGCCUACACCACAGCCCCAGAAACUAGGGAUCCGAGCCUCAUCUGUGAUCUACACUGCAGUUCAUGGCAAUGCCAGAUCCUUACCCACUGAGCACAGCCAGGGAUCAAACCCGAAUCUUCAUGGAUACUAGUCAGGUUUGUUACCACUGAGCCAUAAUGGGAACUCCCUAAACGGUAUUUUAGAAAGAAAACACGGGAUGUAUGCUUGAACCAGGCACACUUGUGCUGGUUCCCCAUAUGAGCAGUAGCCUGAGAAUCAUUGGAUGUUAACCGAAAUGCUCAAUUUCUUGACAAUUUUGAUGUUAUUUGAGAAUAUCUGCAGAGACUAUUUGAAAAGAAAUUAGGCCUGUUGUCCUGACAACAGCAGAACACACAGUGGGAUAGCUCAAAGUCAUCUGGAUUUGUCCCUAACCUUGGCCUCCCUGGAAGAAGUGUUAGCUGAGCCCCAGGGGGCCCAGGACUGUGGUGGGCAGUUUGACAGGUUGAUAAGCAAUCCCAUUGGCAGUCCAGCUGUCUUGAUGCUGGACUGAUUUCCUGUGUUUCAUUACUCCCAGUGUAUUUUUAUGUUGGUCCCCUCUCUCCUGUGGGGAACAGCAUUCACCACUACCUGGAACAGCAUUUGUCACUACUCCUUCCAACCUGGAAGAGUCAAAUGUUGGGCUUAGUGGUUCAGCUCAACUUUUCAAAGGAAAAAACAGGGUCAGAGAGGUUAGGGGGCCAGUCAAGUGAGUAGUAAGCCCUGGAACUGGGAUUCCAACUCAUAUCUGCUUGAUUCCUUCCUGUCACGCCCAGGUAUUUCUGAUGGAAAUAGCAAAACCCAGGAUAUCGCAGCACACACAGGCUGAGUUCUAGCCACAACCUGGUUCUUACAUCACACAGACUCAUUUUGAACCUGAAGGAGGAAAGUGGAAAAAUGCCAAAUUGGUUUGGGAAGGGGUGGGGAGAGGAAAUGUGUGUGGGGGGGGUGAGGUGAAAAUGUUCUUUCUCUGCUGUGUCAUCAGGGGAACAGAAAGGGGUAAUCGUCUCAUUUUUCUUAACAGAAGCAACACAGGAAGAAAAGCAUUCAUUAAAACACUGCAUCACUGCACACUUUAGAAAGGAAGCAGCAACUCAUUUCAGUUCUGCAGGAGAAAUUUUUGCAAAUGAAUAAAGAGGGGUAGUUAAUAGGUUUUGUUUGUUUGUUUGUUUGUUUUUAAGAAAUCUUGAGGAGUUCCCAUUGUGGCUCAGUGGAAACAAUCCAACUAGCCCUGAGGAUGCGGAUUUGUGCUCCCUGGCCUCAACAGUGCGUUAAGGAUCUGGCAUUGCUGUGAGCUGCGUUGUAGGUUGCAGAUGUGGCUUGGAUCUGGCUUUGCUGUGGCAUAGGCCAGGGACUGCAGCUCCAAUGAGACCCCUAGUCUGGGAACCUCCAUAUGCUGCAGGAGCUUCCCUCACCUAGAGAGGAAGGUGUUGUGGUCUGUGCAUGUGGGUCAGAAAAGAAUUUCCAGACGUAUAGGGGGUGAAGAGAAAGAAGACUUUAUUGAGCAUGGCGAGAUGGAGAGAAAGUAGAGUUUAUUGAAAUAAGAGAUGCUGCUCAGCACAGCGGGAAGACUUCCUGAUCAGGAAGAGCCAACACUGAGCGUUGCUGGCCUGCUGAUUGGUUAGGGAAAGGGGAGGUCUUCCAAAACACUUGCUGGUUGGUUGAGGGCAUGUUUUGCCCCCAUGGGGCGGGGGUGAGGGGUGGGCCACAUACCUUUCUUAGGAGGGGGCAGGAAGGAGUAGGCCAGGUCACUCAAGGUCGGGGAAGGGCGGUUACAACGAGACAGGUGGGGUGAUGAUAAGGGUCUGGUAAUUCUCAUCUUAGCCAGAGGCUUUGAGUUCUAUCUCCUUGAAGGGGCCUUGAAGUCCAACAGAAGGGUCAAGCUGGGAUGGGGUUUUGGAACCAGGUUUAUCGCCCUGCUGACAGCAGUGGAGCUGACUGGCACCCCUACCUUCUCACUGAUGUCAGGGCUGAAGCAUCUGUCAGAGGCUCAGGUUCUCACGUGGGACCUCAGAAGGGAAGCCAGCUGUGCAUCUUCUCAAAGAUCCAAAGACAGGUCCUUGGCCUUGGUAAUCAUGGAGAGGGUUACCAAUUGAACACCAAGUGACUGUCCCAUGGCCAUCAAAAGUGGGCACUGUGGGCUUCACCCUUCCAGCCUUCCAGCUGGCACUUCCUGUCGAAAGGAGCUGUUGCUGGCUGCCUGCUCCAUCUGGGGAGGCGAGUCUCAUGCCAGGACACCCCUCAGAAGUCGAAGGGGCCUCCAGGGGUGGGGGUUCUGACUCUCACCCUUGACGUUGUAAGUCUUAGUGCAGCCAGAACAGGUCUCGACCACUCAAGAGAGCCACUGUCGGAGUAUUCUGGGAAGAUAGAUUUUAUGGAAAAAUCUUGCUUCCUUCUGUUUUAUGUAUGACAUUUUCCCAAAAGGGAAAAAAAAAGUUGGCAUAACCAGUAUCAUUAUUCUUUUCUUUCUUUUAUUUUCCACCUCAGAACCAUUUGUCAUCAGAAAACAGUUUACUUUACACCUCCCAGGCUGAUUUCCACAUCACGAGGAGCCUGGGGAGGGGACAGCGAUGACCUCUGGCUGCCCCGUGGCAAGGGGCUGGGAGGUGGGGAAGGGGAGUGAAUCAUCAGCCCUGAGGUUGCUCAGGAAAGAGCUGAGCUGAGCUGAGCAUCCAAAGAGGCAGGCCAGGGAGUCUAGCCACUGGGUUGGAUGAUACACCGGAUGGUGAGACCCUCUAAGACAGGUGUCUUCUGCGUAUCCCCUCCUGCUCCACUCAAGUGGGUGAAAACACAGUUAAAGUUUUGCCGCUGCUGGCGUAAGCAUCAUCCAUGAACAUGGACGUAAGGGAGCACACGUGGUAGAAUCCGGCACAGAAUACUUUGAGGUUUUUCAUCCUAAAGUCGACGGGGUCCAGUCUGUGGAUCAAGAGAGAAGAGAGCCUGAUUUAAUAAUGGUUUGCGUCAUGGACUGUGCCGGAAAUCCCCACUGAGGUCCCUAUAUGAGCCACCAAAAUGUCGUGGUCUGUGCACAUGGGUGGGAAAGAAGAAAUUUCUGGAUCCAAAGCAAGGUGAAGAAAAGACAUGUUUAUUGAAGCGAGAGACUUUGUUAAAACAGUGGCUGACUUCCUCAUCAGGGAGAGCUGACCUGGGGGCUCAGGGUCGGGUCUGUUUUUAUAGCCCAGGGAGAGAGGAGAGGUCUCGUGAUACACCUGCUAACCUGCUGAUUGGUUGGGGAAAGAGGGGUCUUAGGAUACACUUCCUGGUUGGUUGGGGGUGUAUAAGGCCCCCAUAGUGGCAGGUGAGGAGUGGGCCACAUACCUUUCUGAGGAAGGGUUUGGAAGGGGCAGGCCAGGUUGGUCAAGGUUGGGGAGGGGACAUUACAAUGAGACAGUCAAGGUGGGGGAGGGGGCAUUACAACAAUAAGGGUCUGAUUAUCACUGAUAACAAAUCCCAACCUCUCUUUGACUCGGUGGAACCAUGUGCAAUAUUUUUUUGGCCCAGGCUGGAGAUCAAGGCACUGUCAUUCCCCUCGAUCCCAAUCCCCAGAUAAAAAGGGUAACGUUUUGUGUGAGGAAAAGCUUCAGGGCAGCCUCAGAAGUCAAAGAGGACUGGAACGUGUUGGCCUCAUCCAGGACGAGGAAGAGCCUAAAGAUGGCGCCCACAGGGACCACAGCCCAGUUCCUGAUGGGAAACCCGCCCGUCAGACCGAUGGGCUUUCUCUUUGGGAAGAAGUGAAGGGAGGGAGGAUUGUUCCGAGGAGGAGCCAAGAGUGAGCUGAGGCCCAAAGAGAGGACAGGAGAGAUGGGCGAGACCUACUGGAGGGGCAGACCCAGCUGGUACAGCAGGUGUGGGUGAGAUGAGAGUCUUGGAGUGCUCCCUGGAUAGAGAGCAAGAGCAUGAGUGGACGGAGGGGCAUUUCAGGGUGGGAGGCGCGGCACUUCCAAGGGAGGGGAGAUUUGUCGUGGCUGGGCAAAGGGACAGCUCCUCGGGAAAGUUCUAGAAGUGGGUAUUGCUCAUACCUUAUAGGACACCCCUUCAUUCCAGAGGCCGAGGGAUCACUGAUGCUAACCAGGUAGAAGAGAUCAAUAAAGCUGGGUUGAUAGGAGCAAUAACAACCUCCACGUUUGCUUGAUUGUCAGGUCUGGCCCAACCAUCUCUACAUCAGGCACUGUGCUAGGGCCUGAAGACACACUCAGUGAUGAGCAAAACAGGUCUGGCUCCGCCUUGGGGUUUUACCAGGGUUUCUCCAGGGUGGCCUUCUUUUCUGGUUCCUUCAAGGGUUGGGGAGUAGGGGAAACCUGUACUCCCUUUCAGGGGGUGCUAUCAAUGCCUGAGGUUUGCGUAUGUUGACUUUCUAUUAUUACAAACCUUAGCGGGUGAGCAGGGAAACCACAUCCAGUAACAAGAAGUUGCUCCACUGGCCAGAAAUAGAAAGUCCAUGUGGAGUCCUUUCUGUCCUUCUUUUGUUUAAUGCAGAAGCUUUAAGGAGUUCUCAUGUGGCUCAGUGGGUUAAGAACCCAACUAGUAUCCAUGAGGAUGUGGGUUCGAUCCCUGGCCUCGUUCAGUGGGUUGGGGAUCUGGCGUUGCCAUGAGCUGUGGUGUGGGUCACAUUCGUGGCUCAGAUCCUGAGUUGUGUGGCUGUUGGCGUAGGCUGGCAGGUGCAGCUCCAAUUGGACCCCUAGCCUGGGAACUUCCAAAAGCCACAGGUGAGGUCCUAAAAAGAUUUAAAAAAAAAAAAAAAA
Molecule: long non-coding RNA, 5177 nt
Filed under: Sus scrofa (pig)
Lineage: Eukaryota; Metazoa; Chordata; Mammalia; Artiodactyla; Suidae
Description: lncRNA (ENSSSCG00025030720.1)
Source: RNAcentral